CCCUUAGAUGUUCUGGGCCGCACGCGCGUUACACUGAUGCAUUCAACAAGUUUGUUUUUGUUCCUUGGCCGAGAGGCCUGGGUAAUCUUGUAAUGUGCAUCGUGAUAGGGAUAGAUUAUUGCAAUUAUUAAUCUUGAACGAGGAAUUCCUAGUAAACGCAGAUCAUCAAUCUGCAUUGAUUACGUCCCUGCCCUUUGUACACACCGCCCGUCGCACCUACCGAUUGAAUGGUCCGGUGAAGCCUCGGGAUUGUGGCUGGUUCCCUUUAUUGGGGAUUGGUUGUGAGAACUUGUCUAAACCUUAUCAUUUAGAGGAAGGUGAAGUCGUAACA
Molecule: ribosomal RNA, 331 nt
Filed under: uncultured eukaryote
Lineage: Eukaryota
Description: partial 18S ribosomal RNA
Rfam family: Eukaryotic small subunit ribosomal RNA
Source: RNAcentral